GACUACUGGGGUAUCUAAUCCUGUUUGCUCCCCACGCUUUCGUGCAUGAGCGUCAGUGUUAACCCAGGAAGCUGCCUUCGCCAUCGAUGUUCCUCCAUAUCUCUACGCAUUUCACUGCUACACAUGGAAUUCCACUUCCCUCUGUUACACUCUAGUCAUGUAGUUUCAAACGCAAUUCCCAGGUUAAGCCCGGGGAUUUCACAUCUGACUUACAUAACCGCCUGCGCACCCUUUACGCCCAGUAAUUCCGAUUAACGCUCGCACCCUACGUAUUACCGCGGCUGCUGGCACGUAGUUAGCCGGUGCUUCUUCUGUUGAUACCGUCAUUAAUUAUGAUUAUUAGUCACAAUCUUUUCUUCUCAACUGAAAGAGCUUUACAACCCGAAGGCCUUCUUCACUCACGCGGCAUUGCUGGAUCAGGGUUUCCCCCAUUGUCCAAAAUUCCCCACUGCAGCCUCCCGUAGG
Molecule: ribosomal RNA, 465 nt
Filed under: uncultured beta proteobacterium
Lineage: Bacteria; Pseudomonadati; Pseudomonadota; Betaproteobacteria
Description: partial 16S ribosomal RNA
Source: RNAcentral